RNAcentral lists this ribosomal RNA (332 nucleotides) under uncultured eukaryote. RNAcentral describes it as "partial 18S ribosomal RNA". It matches the Rfam family "Eukaryotic small subunit ribosomal RNA", at positions 592 to 976 of the family's 1831-position model. The record is from RNAcentral.
CAAUAGCGUAUAUUAAAGUUGUUGCAGUUAAAAAGCUCGUAGUUGAAUUUCGGGUCCCCGCGCUCGGCGCUUCAUUGUGCCGUCGUGGUGUCCCUCCUCGCCGUAAGGCGUCCUUUACUGUGAAAAAAUUAGAGUGUUCAAAGCAGGCAAUCGCUUGAAUACAUUAGCAUGGAAUAAUAAGAUAGGAUCUUGUCUAUUUUGUUGGUUGCGGACAACGAUAAUGAUUAAUAGGGAUAGUUGGGGGUGUCCGUAUUGAGCUGUCAGAGGUGAAAUUCUUGGAUUUGCUCAAGACGAGCUACUGCGAAAGCAUUCACCAAGGAUGUUUUCAUUAA